This 633-nucleotide ribosomal RNA is filed under the name uncultured bacterium. Its description in RNAcentral is "bacterial SSU rRNA". It matches the Rfam family "Bacterial small subunit ribosomal RNA", at positions 766 to 1401 of the family's 1533-position model. The record is from RNAcentral.
GAGCAAACAGGAUUAGAUACCCUGGUAGUCCACGCUGUAAACGAUCGAUACUAGGUGUGCGGGGACUGACCCCCUGCGUGCCGGAGUUAACACAAUAAGUAUCGCACCUGGGGAGUACGAUCGCAAGGUUGAAACUCAAAGGAAUUGACGGGGGCCCGCACAAGCGGUGGAUUAUGUGGUUUAAUUAGAAGCAACGCGAAGAACCUCACCAGGGCUUGACAUCUUGCUAACGAAGUAGAGAUACAUUAGGUGCCCUUCGGGGAAAGCAGAGACAGGUGGUGCAUGGUUGUGGUCAGCUCGUGUCGUGAGACGUUGGGUUAAGUCCCGCACCGAGCGCAACCCCUAUCGUUGGUUGCUACGCAAGAGCACUCUAGCGAGAGUGCCGUUGACAAAACGGAGGAAGGCGGGGACGACGUCAAAUCAUCAUGCCCCUUCUGUCCUGGGCUGCACACCUAAUACAAUGGCGGUUAACAACAGGGAUGCAAAGCCGCGAGGCAGAGCGAACCCCAAAAAGCCGUCCCAGUUCGGAUCGCAGGCUGCAACCCGCCUGCGUGAAGUCGGAAUCGCUAGUAAUCGCGGAUCAGCAUACCGCGGUGAAUACGUUCCCGGGCCUUGCACACACCGCCCGUCAAG